This 1267-nucleotide long non-coding RNA is filed under the name Zostera marina. Its description in RNAcentral is "long non-coding RNA (ZMAR_LNC005673)". The record is from RNAcentral. Lineage: Eukaryota; Viridiplantae; Streptophyta; Magnoliopsida; Alismatales; Zosteraceae.
AAGGGUUACUUUCCGUUAUUAGAGAAGUUGAAUUCCAGAGAAAAAAUACGAGAAGAGCACCUGAAGAGUUCGAAUUGAUUUCCACGUAAAGUUUCUAGCUAAACGUUUGUUAGAAACAUCAUCGAACAUUAAUCGAGUUCUGAUAAAGAAAGAAAACUUUAUCACAACCAGUGAAUCCAUGAUCAAGGUUGAUUGAUCUCAUUUCAUCCCUAGUUAAACAAGCUUGAUUUUCCACAUGAGCCCACCUCAUUUAUUAAGCAAAUACCAAGCUAAAUUUUUAUCUCGACAUGUUGAGUGGACUGGGCCGAGGUGAGUUUAAAGAAGUGAGAAGACUGUUGACAAAAGUAUAUCACUUUGAUGUCCAACUGUUGAUGCUUAUCUGUUCUUAACGAGUUGGAGGAAUUGGUGAGUCAAUCUCACGUCUCCAAUUAGAAAUUGUUAAGAUGAAGGAAGAGUAGCUGGUAACUGGUAAGUACCAAGAAAGCACAUUUCAUGUUCUCCAGCGACAUUUGGUUAGGUAUACCAACAACGAACUUAAAGACAUUUGAACCCACAUCCCUGAAAGCAAAGAUGAACAAGUACCAGAGUAAAUCUUAUAAAUAGAACAAGACUAGUGAGUUUGAUCAUAAGUUCAUAACCCUAUACGUGUGACUCAUCAUAGCUUCAAAAAAAUAAAAAUAGUCUCUUUUGUUGUCCAUUGGCUGUUGAAGUCUCUUGGAGUAGGGCGAGGUACGUUUAAAGAGUAAAGAGUAGGUUUGGCAGAGAACCAGAGACAGGACACAUCACAUCAAACAACUCACAAACCAACAAAAGAAGAGACCCCAAUGCUUGUGGGUUGUGUCUUUCUCUGUGUUGAUGAGUGUUGACUACAGCACUCACCACAAAAAUUGUUAUUAAAUGAGAUAUUUAUAGAUAUCGCAUCUUCGGAUUAGACCCAAUAUCACAUCUCGAAAAAAUUAGAAACCAAUAGCUUACCUGAAGGUAGUGCUAAAUAUAUAUUAAUGGUGGAGGUAAAGAAAGGGCAGUCCCCCUCUCCCCCAACUGGCCAUCUGUCUGUGAAACGGUGAAGGUGACAGACAGUCAGAUAGAGAGAGACCCUUCCUCCUAUUCUCAUCCAUCCAAUAUCCAAUGCCCCCCCACCAAGCAAUAACUGUUAGAGAAAAGGGAGAAGAAUACCUUUUCAUGGAGGACUUCCGGCAGCAGCAACAAAGAUUCCACAACCAACAACUCUUCUCGUACUCAGACCACCAUCAUCAUGACAACCCAC